RNAcentral lists this ribosomal RNA (259 nucleotides) under Salmonella enterica subsp. enterica serovar Newport. RNAcentral describes it as "partial 16S ribosomal RNA". It matches the Rfam family "Bacterial small subunit ribosomal RNA", at positions 844 to 1102 of the family's 1533-position model. The record is from RNAcentral. Lineage: Bacteria; Pseudomonadati; Pseudomonadota; Gammaproteobacteria; Enterobacterales; Enterobacteriaceae.
UUCCGGAGCUAACGCGUUAAGUAGACCGCCUGGGGAGUACGGCCGCAAGGUUAAAACUCAAAUGAAUUGACGGGGGCCCGCACAAGCGGUGGAGCAUGUGGUUUAAUUCGAUGCAACGCGAAGAACCUUACCUGGUCUUGACAUCCACAGAAGAAUCCAGAGAUGGAUUUGUGCCUUCGGGAACUGUGAGACAGGUGCUGCAUGGCUGUCGUCAGCUCGUGUUGUGAAAUGUUGGGUUAAGUCCCGCAACGAGCGCAAC